AGAAGGAAGGAACACCAGGGAUACCGGUUACUGGGCAUAUAAUAGGUGGCUAACCGAAGCGUGAAUUGGGGAAUAUUUCCAAGACACUCAUCAUCCAAAAGAAGGCUAAAAGCAAACUCUAACAGGAUGGACAUUCGAUUCCGCAGAGGGAUGCGAGUCUUACUUGACCAAGGAAGAACAAAAGGCUUCGACCAAAGAGUGCAUGAGAUAUGUUAUCU
RNAcentral lists this long non-coding RNA (218 nucleotides) under Lathyrus oleraceus (garden pea). RNAcentral describes it as "Pisum sativum (pea) long non-coding RNA (PSAT_LNC013683)". The record is from RNAcentral. Lineage: Eukaryota; Viridiplantae; Streptophyta; Magnoliopsida; Fabales; Fabaceae.